This is a long non-coding RNA of Cloeon dipterum, 313 nucleotides long. RefSeq lists it as uncharacterized. The transcript is spliced from 3 exons. Lineage: Eukaryota; Metazoa; Arthropoda; Insecta; Ephemeroptera; Baetidae. The record is from RefSeq and is a predicted model, not a curated record.
CACGACUGAAUCGACCCCGACAACCUCAACUUCAACCUCAAAAACUACUAAAACUUCAACUACAACCAUGACAUCAACAACAACUUCUUCAACUACAACCAUGAAAUCAACAACAACAACAACUUCUUCAACUACAACCACGAAAUCAACAACAACUACCACAACUACGCCUCCAUGUCUACCAUACACGUGUGUGACACAGCCUUCGUUACUUGAUGCUAACAACUACAUUAACACAUCUGUCGGAGCCACCAUUGGAGGAGCUUUGCGUAACGCCUGUGACUCCUUGUACUUUUUCAGUGACGCUGCAGUA